CUUCGGCUCUGGUAUUUAUGAUGGGCCAGCCUAAUUCGAUGGGCUGUUGAUAAUGGGCUUUGUACAGUACGCCCUUCUGUGUGGGCUGGGAAGAGGAAAGAGUAGGAGCGAUGGAGGAGCAACCGAACAAAAAAUUGAGCAUUCUCAAAAAAAAAAAAAAUGAGCUUCUGGCGCUGGUGUGAAUGGAUGCGGCAGCGGCAGGCUAGUCAGCUCGGCCAAAACCUGUCGCAUGUGUGAAAACCUAUCUUGGUAUCAUAACCAAACAACAAAAUUGGUGUUAGAACUUGUUUUAAUACAAAUGCUGAUUUUUUUGACAGAACUCCACGGCUGCGUUUCCCACCUAACCAGCCGCAACGGCGCUAGAGUACACAGUCCCCGCGCGCUGCUCCCGCGUGCGCUCGCGAGCCGAUCCCCGCCACACCCAGCAACAGCCCAAGCACGGAAACAACUGGGCCAGACACGGCGCAGGUCUUCACAUCCGGCCAAGCAGCCAGGAACCAGCCCUGUUGCCCUCCCUUUUGGCUGAUGUUGCACUUGUGUCU
This 542-nucleotide long non-coding RNA is filed under the name Brachypodium distachyon (stiff brome). RNAcentral's name for it is "long non-coding RNA (BDIS_LNC004995)". The record is from RNAcentral. Lineage: Eukaryota; Viridiplantae; Streptophyta; Magnoliopsida; Poales; Poaceae.